UCCGAUAUAGUGUAAAGGCUAUCACAUAGCACUCUCCAUGCUGGAAUCCGGGUUCAAUUCCCGGUGUCGGAG
Molecule: transfer RNA, 72 nt
Filed under: Yamadazyma tenuis ATCC 10573
Lineage: Eukaryota; Fungi; Ascomycota; Pichiomycetes; Serinales; Debaryomycetaceae
Also listed under: 1 other name
Description: Candida tenuis ATCC 10573 tRNA
Rfam family: tRNA
About the family: Transfer RNA (tRNA) molecules are approximately 80 nucleotides in length.
Source: Rfam by way of RNAcentral